Molecule: ribosomal RNA, 253 nt
Filed under: uncultured bacterium
Lineage: Bacteria
Description: partial 16S ribosomal RNA
Rfam family: Bacterial small subunit ribosomal RNA
Source: RNAcentral
UACGAAGGGGGCUAGCGUUGCUCGGAAUCACUGGGCGUAAAGCGCACGUAGGCGGACUCUUAAGUCGGUGGUGAAAUCCUGGAGCUCAACUCCAGAACUGCCUUCGAUACUGAGAGUCUCGAGUCCGAGAGAGGUGAGUGGAACUGCGAGUGUAGAGGUGAAAUUCGUAGAUAUUCGCAAGAACACCGGUGGCGAAGGCGGGUCUCUGGGCCGAUACUGACGCUGAGGAGCGAAAGCGUGGGGAGCGAACAGG